This 467-nucleotide ribosomal RNA is filed under the name uncultured bacterium. RNAcentral's name for it is "bacterial SSU rRNA". It matches the Rfam family "Bacterial small subunit ribosomal RNA", at positions 23 to 507 of the family's 1533-position model. The record is from RNAcentral.
CUCAGAUUGAACGCUGGCGGCAUGCCUUACACAUGCAAGUCGAACGGCAGCACGGGAGCUUGCUCCUGGUGGCGAGUGGCGAACGGGUGAGUAAUACAUCGGAACGUACCCUGAAGUGGGGGAUAACGUAGCGAAAGUUACGCUAAUACCGCAUAUUCUGUGAGCAGGAAAGCAGGGGAUCGCAAGACCUUGCGCUCUGGGAGCGGCCGAUGUCGGAUUAGCUAGUUGGUGGGGUAAAGGCCUACCAAGGCGACGAUCCGUAGCGGGUCUGAGAGGAUGAUCCGCCACACUGGGACUGAGACACGGCCCAGACUCCUACGGGAGGCAGCAGUGGGGAAUUUUGGACAAUGGGCGAAAGCCUGAUCCAGCCAUGCCGCGUGAGUGAAGAAGGCCUUCGGGUUGUAAAGCUCUUUUCUGGGAGAUGAGCAAGGACAGUAUCUCAGGAAUAAGUCUCGGCUAACUACGUG